Zingiber officinale is the source of this 462-nucleotide long non-coding RNA. RefSeq lists it as uncharacterized. The transcript is spliced from 3 exons. Lineage: Eukaryota; Viridiplantae; Streptophyta; Magnoliopsida; Zingiberales; Zingiberaceae. The record is from RefSeq and is a predicted model, not a curated record.
AGAAGAUGAUUCUGUUUCCAUUUUGAUAUCAGGUUCAUAAGCAGGGUGUUGCACUUGGAAGAUCUGUUGACUUGACGAAGUUUGAUGGUUAUGACCAAUUGAUCGAGGAGUUAGAUCAGCUAUUUGAAUUCAAAGGAGAAUUGAUGGCUCCAAAUAAAAAUUGGAUGAUUGUAUUUACUGAUAAUGAGGAUGAUAUGAUGCUUGUUGGAGAUGACCCUUGGCAGGAAUUUUGUGCUAUGGUCCGUAAGAUUUUUAUAUACACAAAAGAGGAGGUCCAGAAGAUGGAUUCAAGUACCUUGAACCCAAAAAAUGAAGAUUGUCCUGAUAUGAAAGAGAAUGUCAAGGAAACAAAAGGCAGUCAAUCUGCAUCAUCAUCUAAUUCAAAAAACUCAUAGGCUUAUCCUGCAAUGAUCUUGAAGCACAAACAAAGUGAUUGUUUGUGCUUUAUCUAAGUGAUUGUUU